GAGGAACGCUGGCGGCGUGCCUAAUACAUGCAAGUCGAGCGAACAGACGAGGAGCUUGCUCCUCUGACGUUAGCGGCGGACGGGUGAGUAACACGUGGAUAACCUACCUAUAAGACUGGGAUAACUUCGGGAAACCGGAGCUAAUACCGGAUAAUAUAUUGAACCGCAUGGUUCAAUAGUGAAAGACGGUUUUGCUGUCACUUAUAGAUGGAUCCGCGCCGCAUUAGCUAGUUGGUAAGGUAACGGCUUACCAAGGCGACGAUGCGUAGCCGACCUGAGAGGGUGAUCGGCCACACUGGAACUGAGACACGGUCCAGACUCCUACGGGAGGCAGCAGUAGGGAAUCUUCCGCAAUGGGCGAAAGCCUGACGGAGCAACGCCGCGUGAGUGAUGAAGGUCUUCGGAUCGUAAAACUCUGUUAUUAGGGAAGAACAAAUGUGUAAGUAACUAUGCACGUCUUGACGGUACCUAAUCAGAAAGCCCCGGCUCCCUACGUG
Molecule: ribosomal RNA, 497 nt
Filed under: uncultured bacterium
Lineage: Bacteria
Description: partial 16S ribosomal RNA
Rfam family: Bacterial small subunit ribosomal RNA
Source: RNAcentral